UGGGGAAUAUUGCGCAAUGGGGGCAACCCUGACGCAGCCAUGCCGCGUGAGUGAAGAAGGCCUUAGGGUUGUAAAACUCUUUCACCGGUGAAGAUAAUGACGGUAGCCGGAGAAGAAGCCCCGGCCAACUCCGUGCCAGCAGCCGCGGUAAGACGGAGGGGGCAAGCGUUGUCCGGACUCACUGGGCGUAAAGGGCGCGCAGGCGGGACGGCGCGUCGGCGCUGAAAGCGCCCGGCUUAACCGGGCGCGGCGCGGCGAUACGACCGACCUGGAGGCAGGCAGAGGGUGGCGGAAUUCCGGGUGUAGUGGUGAAAUGCGUAGAGAUCCGGAGGAACGCCUGUGGCGCAAGCGGCCGCCUGGGCCUGACCUGACGCUGAGGCGCGAAAGCGUGGGGAGCGAACCGGAUUAGAUACCCGCGUAGUCC
RNAcentral lists this ribosomal RNA (424 nucleotides) under uncultured prokaryote. Its description in RNAcentral is "bacterial SSU rRNA". It matches the Rfam family "Bacterial small subunit ribosomal RNA", at positions 355 to 796 of the family's 1533-position model. The record is from RNAcentral.